Molecule: ribosomal RNA, 199 nt
Filed under: uncultured bacterium
Lineage: Bacteria
Description: partial 16S ribosomal RNA
Rfam family: Bacterial small subunit ribosomal RNA
Source: RNAcentral
ACGCUCGACACCUACGGUAGGCAGCAGUCGGGAAUAUUGCGCAAUGGAGGAAACUCUGACGCAGUGACGCCGCGUAUGGGAAGAAGGUUUUCGGAUUGUAAACCAUUUUAGACAAGGAAGAAACAAGACAGUACUUGUAGAAUAAGCUCCGGCUAACUACGUGCCAGCAGCCGCGGUAAUCUGAGCGGGCUGGCAAGGC